RNAcentral lists this ribosomal RNA (1647 nucleotides) under Triticum aestivum (bread wheat). RNAcentral's name for it is "partial small subunit ribosomal RNA". The record is from RNAcentral. Lineage: Eukaryota; Viridiplantae; Streptophyta; Magnoliopsida; Poales; Poaceae.
AUGGCCUCCUCCGCCUCCGUUGCGGCCCUCACCGCACUCCCCUUUCCCACUUGCCCCUCCUCCGACGACUCUGACGACGCCAAGCCCCUCCCGCCUCCACCCGCGUCGGGAGAAACCCGCCCUCCUCCGCAGCAUCAGCAGAGGCCGCGGUGGUGGCAGCUGGAGCGCGACUGCAACGUGGCCAUGAAGGCCCUGGCGCGUGCGGGCGAAGUCGACCAGGUGCUCGCCCUCUUCAGAGAGCUCAGGGCUUCCAGAACCGGGCCGGGAGGUGCCUCGCCGCCCAAUGUGCUUUGCUACAACACUCUCGUCAAUGCGCUCGCAGAAGCUGGCCGGGUGGAGGAGGCCCACAACGCGUUCGAUGAAAUGCUUGCAGCAGGGGUGGCGCCCAAUGCAUCGUCCCUCAACAUCCUUGUCAAGCUGCAUUCGUGGAGAUCUGCGCGGUUUGACCUCGCGUACAAGGUGAUCAUCCAGUUGCAAGAGCUCGGGGUGGAAGCUGAGGUGGGCACCUACUCCACGCUUGUCACGGGGCUGUGCCGUGUGGGGAGAGUGGGCGAGGCAUGGGGCGUGCUCGAGUGGAUGCUGGAAGUGGGGUGCCGUCCCAUGGUGCAAACUUACACGCCCAUUGUACAGGGGUAUUGCCGUGAAGGUCGUGUCGACGAGGCCAAGGAGCUGAUGUCCACGAUGGAAAAUGCUGGUUGUCCUCCCAAUGUAGUCACCUACAAUAUUCUGAUCAGGGCUUUGUGUGAUGCUGCCAGAUUUGACGAAGUCAGGCAAGUUUUAACGGAUAGUAGAACCAAGGAUUGGAAACCCAGUACUGUCACCUACAACACAUUUAUGAAUGGUCUCUGCAAGAAAGGUAUGGCUAAAGAAGUACUUGAGCAGUUGGAUGUUAUGCUAGGCGAAGGGCUGGAUCCCACAGAUUUCACUUUGAGUAUUCUUCUGAAUUGCCUUUGCCAUGACAAGAGGAUUCAUGAUGCCGUAUGCUUGCUGGAGAGGAGCACAUCAUUGAAAUGCUAUGCUGGUGUUGUUGCAUACAACACUGUGAUGAGCUGCUUAGGUGAAAUGGGACAUUGGAUGAGUGCUCUAAAGUUGUUGACAGACAUGAUCAAGAGAGGUGUCAUGCCAAACACGAGGACAUUCAACAUUGUCAUUCGUAGUCUUUGCUUUCGCCGAAAGUUCUCCAUAGCCAAGAGCCUCGCAAGUAACCAAGGUUUUGCUGCAAAUGUCGUGACAUACAAUACACUCAUUUAUUUUGUUUUUUACUACAGUCGAAAGCUCAGUGAGGUGAAGGACCUAAUAUUUGACAUGACAGCAGAGAGGAUUGCUCCAGAUGAAGUUACCUACACUAUAAUCGUUGAUGGAUUAUGCAGAGAUGGAUUUUUUGAUACAGCCACUAGUUACUUUCUAGAAUCGCUUGAGAUUGGACUGUCAAGGGAUCUUUUUGCUGUCCUUACAAACAGGCUUGCUCACAGUGGCAAAAUCUGGGAGACAAUUCACAUAUUCAAGGGAAUGGAAGAAAAAGGUUUUAUCCCCGAUAGUUCUAUAUUUGACCUCACAAUCAGAAUAUUCUGUAGGGCUGGUUAUUGUCACGACACAGAUAUGUUUAAGGUUAACUUUAUUCUGGAUACGAUGUUGGGAAAGCAGUGA